GAUGAAGAACGUAGUAAAAUGCGAUAAGUAAUGUGAAUUGCAGAAUUCAGUGAAUCAUCGAAUCUUUGAACGCACAUUGCGCCCGCCAGUAUUCUGGCGGGCAUGCCUGUUCGAGCGUCAUUUCAACCCUCAAGCACAGCUUGGUGUUGGGACUCGCGUUAAUUCGCGUUCCCCAAAUUGAUUGGCGGUCACGUCGAGCUUCCAUAGCGUAGUAGUAAAACCCUCGUUACUGGUAAUCGUCGCGGCCACGCCGUUAAACCCCAACUUCUGAAUGUCGACCUCGGAUCAGGUAGGAAUACCCGCUGAACUUAAGCAUAUCAAUAAGCGGAGGA
This 332-nucleotide unclassified non-coding RNA is filed under the name soil metagenome. RNAcentral describes it as "partial contains 5.8S ribosomal RNA, internal transcribed spacer 2, and large subunit ribosomal RNA". The stretch from base 1 to 120 matches the Rfam family "5.8S ribosomal RNA", at positions 35 to 154 of the family's 154-position model. The record is from RNAcentral.